This 477-nucleotide ribosomal RNA is filed under the name Triticum aestivum (bread wheat). RNAcentral describes it as "partial small subunit ribosomal RNA". The record is from RNAcentral. Lineage: Eukaryota; Viridiplantae; Streptophyta; Magnoliopsida; Poales; Poaceae.
AUGGCCGGAAGCGCGAGCGCCACUCCGGUCCUCCUCGUCGUCGUGGUCGCGGCCCUCGCCGCGGGGGCCAGCGCGACAUCGACGCUGACGCCGCUCAGCAUCACCAACCGGUGCUCCUUCACGGUGUGGCCGGCGGUGGCCUCCGCAGGCCUAGGCACCGAGCUCCAUCCGGGAGCCAACUGGACCGUGGACGCGGGGCGGUGCCAGACGGCGGACUGCGGCAGCGGGCUGCGGUGCCGGAGCACCGACCCUGCGGCGCCGGCGACCAAGGCCCAGGUCGCCAUCUCCGAGGGCUUCUACCACUACGGCAUCACGUUGGACAAGGGGUUCAACCUGCCCAUGGAUCUCACGUGCAGCUCCGGCGACGCGCUCCGGUGCCGGGAGGACGGGUGCCACGACGCGUUCCCGUACGUGAAGUACAACGACCACUCAUGCACCGCCGCCGGCAGCCGGCUCCAGAUCGUCUUCUGCCCAUGA